RNAcentral lists this ribosomal RNA (484 nucleotides) under uncultured bacterium. RNAcentral describes it as "partial 16S ribosomal RNA". It matches the Rfam family "Bacterial small subunit ribosomal RNA", at positions 30 to 507 of the family's 1533-position model. The record is from RNAcentral.
AUUGAACGCUGGCGGCAGGCCUAACACAUGCAAGUCGAGCGGAUGAAGGGAGCUUUCUCCUGGAUUCAGCGGCGGACGGGUGAGUAAUGCCUAUGAAUCUGCCUGGUAGUGGGGGAUAACGUCCGCUAACGGGCGCUAAUACCUCAUACGUCCUGAUUGAGAAACUGGGGGUUCUUCCGCCCUCACGCUCUCAUAUGAGCCUAGGUCGGAUUAGCUAGUUGGUGGGGUAAAGGCCUACCAAGGCAAGGAUCCGUAACUGGUCUGAUAGGAUGAUCAGGCACACGGGAAGUGAGAAACGGUCCAGAAUCCUAGGGGAGGAAGCAGUGGGGAAUAUUGGACAAUGGGCGAAAGGAUGAUAAAGCAAUGCGGCGUGUGUGAAGAAGGUGUUCGGAUUGUAAAGCACUUUAAGUUGGGAGGAAGGGAAGUAAGUUAAUACCUGGAUGUAUUGACGUUACCAAAAGAAUAAGCACCGGCUAACUUCGUG